This is a long non-coding RNA of Heterocephalus glaber (naked mole-rat), 885 nucleotides long. Lineage: Eukaryota; Metazoa; Chordata; Mammalia; Rodentia; Bathyergidae. The record is from Ensembl.
GGGGGAGAUCAAGCCAUACUUGACUACAGAAUGUAGACUAGAUGUCCCCCAAAAGCCCCAUGUGGUCAUAGAUGGGACUUUUUGAAGGGGGCUGGAACUGGAGUCUGUAUGCUGGAAUCAAGGAUGUGAUGCUGGCAUCGAUUCAUGCUGCAAUGAUAGGAUUAAGGCUUCCUGCCCUGGUUGUGAAUGCUACGGGGGCCUAAAGAUGCUGCUUCCUUGUCUCUGGCCUCCAUUCAACUAGGAGCCUCUAGUCUUAACAGCUACAGCCAUAGAGAAGAAUGCUGAAGGCAAAGUAAAAAGCCCCAUGAAGGACAAAACUUGGACUCCGUGUAACAUUGGACUUAGAAAACCACUCCCCACCCAGACAUAGGAAUGUUAUAUUCCUCCUCUCACCAGCUCCACAGGAAGUCCUUUGUCAAAGCCCAGAGUACUUUUGCAUACUAGAAGAGAAAUAAACUGUAUAUCCAGAAUUCUAGCAGCAAGGGAAUCAGUAUAAGAAGUCAGUGAUGAACUUUGGACACUCUCCUGUCAUCUGCCCUUUAAGCACAAAGGAAAAUGGAAAUGGAGAAUACAAAAAGUGGAAAAUGCCUUUGGACUACAACGAUGUGAUAUAUAAGAAUGACUCCACUGGUCAUAUGGGAAAAAUAUGGACAUGGUAAAGGUUAGAGAGAUAUUUUGGUCUGUAGUUUGGGAGAGCACAGGUGAGGAUAGGUGGUUUUGCAGAUCCUCAUUGUCCCACUGAGCAAUUCGAAUUCCACCAUGACACAGUAUUAAGGCUUUGAAGGCAAAAAAUAAGAAUGCAGAUGCAUUGUGCAGAGUGUCUCGCUCUGGGCAUUAGCAAGCACAGUGGUUUGCAAUCUUGUGGUCUCUUUUGGCUUUAUGUAG